RNAcentral lists this ribosomal RNA (558 nucleotides) under Bos taurus (domestic cattle). RNAcentral describes it as "similar to 16S ribosomal RNA". It matches the Rfam family "Bacterial large subunit ribosomal RNA", at positions 711 to 1686 of the family's 2925-position model. The record is from RNAcentral. Lineage: Eukaryota; Metazoa; Chordata; Mammalia; Artiodactyla; Bovidae.
CAGCCCGAAACCAGACGAGCUACUCACAACAGUUUACCAAGAACUAACUCAUCUAUGUGGCAAAAUAGUGAGAAGAUUUGUAAGUAGAGGUGACAUGCCUAACGAGCCUGGUGAUAGCUGGUUGUCCAGAAAAUGAAUCUAAGUUCAGCUUUAAAGAUACCAAAAUUCAAAUAAACCCCACUGUAGCUUUAAAAGUUAGUCUAAAAAGGUACAGCCUUUUAGAAACGGAUACAACCUUGACUAGAGAGUAAAAUUUAACACUACCAUAGUAGGCCUAAAAGCAGCCAUCAAUUAAGAAAGCGUUAAAGCUCAACAACAAAAUUAAAUAGAUUCCAACAACAAAUGAUUAACUCCUAGCCCCAAUACUGGACUAAUCUAUUAUAGAAUAGAAGCAAUAAUGUUAAUAUGAGUAACAGAAAAAUUUUCUCCUUGCAUAAGUCUAAGUCAGUGCCUGAUAAUACUCUGACCACUAACAGUCAAUAAAAAUAAUCCAACAAUAAACAAUUUAUUGAUUAUACUGUUAACCCAACACAGGAGUGCAUCUAAGGAAAGAUUAAA